UCAGUGUCCCACAUACUCUCUUUUUGUUUUCUCUCACAAGCCUGGCUUAAGUUAUUUAUGCACAUGACUUAACAUUAAGAUGGUUUAUUCAUGAGAUUGCCUUAGGAGACAGGAGACAGACAACCUGCUUUUGUGAGGGUCUCUCUGGAGAUUGGCAGUUACACAAUGUAUUGUUACUCCGUCAGGCUCUAUGAGGACAAAACAUCACAAUGUAGAGGCCUCUGUUGAAAAUAAUGAUCUGUGCUGUGUAGGUCCCAAUUUGAGAAGCAUUUAUAUUGAUAAAGUUACUUGAAGAAAAAAAGUCCAGAUUCUUCAGCACCAGACAGGGCAGGUCUGUGUUAAGGAGGAGAGAUCAGUGUCUUUGUCUGUUGGAUCUUCAACAAGCCUGCAGGUGCUUGACCAGAGGCGGAGCAGUCUUGGAUCCUGUUCUGGGAGGUGUGGUUACUAAAGAACAUGAUUACCAAAUGGACCUUGUGAGAGAACUCCAUGGCAGAAAAUCUUGCUGACUACAUCAUAAGAAAAUUACUUUUUUCAGACUCAAAAUAAUCCUGUGACACGAGUUUUACUGCAUCCAUUUUACAGAUGUGGGAACUGAGGCUUGUGUGGUUACCUUGGCACAGUGCAUAGCUAACACAUAGCAGAGCCUGCCAGACAUGUGAACCCAAGUGAAUCAUCCCGGGGCCAGAAUCUCUAGACGCCUAGAUCAUCUCACAUGUGAGUGAAAGCCCAUCAGACUCCCAGAGACGUAAUACUGACAUCGGGAGGCCGUCUAUGGCAACUCCUGCAUUCCAGACUUCUCCUAAUGAAGGCUACAUGGGCGUCAUUGUGGAUUCUGCCGCCUCGGGUUUCUCUCAGUCCCCACUUAGCUGUGGGAGAGGAGGCAGGAGAGACAGGGUCUCCUGUGUGUGCCCAUCACCAGCACCAAGCCCUGCUUUUAAGGACUGUGGGUGAGAGCAGGCCUUCUUUGGGCAUAACGCCCCCAACAUCGCGAAGAUUAGGAGUAAUGCAGCAUAGGUCCUGAACAGGCAGCUGUCUGUAUGGCUCCCUCUGAGGGGCCUACAAAUUCCUCUCAAAAGGGAAAAGACACAAGUCUCCUACUUGGGUUAAAAUAUGUGAAUUUGUCUUCAGAA
This is a long non-coding RNA of Panthera uncia (snow leopard), 1130 nucleotides long. RefSeq lists it as uncharacterized. NCBI's taxonomy places the organism in Eukaryota, Metazoa, Chordata, Mammalia, Carnivora, Felidae. The record is from RefSeq and is a predicted model, not a curated record. The transcript has 3 exons.